AUGACUGUUGUUCUUUGGGAGCUUGGAGGAAGUGAUGAGUAUUCGCUCCUCGAAUCCUUGAAACAAGGAAAGGUCGAGAAACCUGUUGUUGCUUGGGUUAGUGGGACGUGUGCACGUCUGUUGAAAUUUGAUUCCAGUUUUGCCAUGGGUGCGGUGAGUAGUGGUGGUGAGUUGGAAUCUACACAAGCUAAGAAUCAGGCACUAAGGGAUGUUGGGGCUGUUGUUCCUACUUCAUUUGAAGCUCUUGAAAGGAUUAAAGAUUUCAGAAGCUGGUACGUUGAGGAAGGAAAAAUUCCUCCUAUCCCCGAGGUUAAACCUCCCCCCAUUCCUGAAGAUCUUAAAACUGCCAUUGAAAGUGGGAAGGUCUGAGCUCUUACAAUUAUCUCCACUAUCUCUGAUGAUAGAGGUUAG
Molecule: ribosomal RNA, 411 nt
Filed under: Triticum aestivum (bread wheat)
Lineage: Eukaryota; Viridiplantae; Streptophyta; Magnoliopsida; Poales; Poaceae
Description: partial small subunit ribosomal RNA
Source: RNAcentral